Molecule: long non-coding RNA, 3866 nt
Organism: Ostrea edulis (European flat oyster)
Lineage: Eukaryota; Metazoa; Mollusca; Bivalvia; Ostreida; Ostreidae
Exons: 3
Source: RefSeq, a predicted model, not a curated record
CCUGUAGGGCAGGCUACAGAAAAAAUUAAAGGAAGAUGAUAAAACUCUUAAUGUUAUUAUAGACGCAGCCUGAAUAAUACAGUACCAUAUACAAUGGUUUGUACAUUGUACCAUGAGAGAAAAAUGCAAGCUAGACCAUAGAUCAAAGUCAAUAAUUUUUUUGUUUUGACUUAAUUUUUUAAAUAUGGCUUUCGAUCAGAAUGAAGGAGAAUUAGUAAAAACUUACGAAUGCAUUCACCAUUGUGAUGGUGAAAAGUCGUUCAGCACUCGUUUCUGGAAAAAUGUGUUGUAAUUAGAUUCUAUCUUCCAAUAAAUCGAAGAAGAAUAUCUAUAUUUUAAUAUUUUGAAUAUAGAUGUAUGUGUACCUUUACCAAGAAUCAAAUUUUAUACUCUUCUAAAUUCAGUAAAUAUUGAGAAAAAAUUAACACAUGAAUAAAAUUCAAAAUGUACUGAUAUGGAUUUAUCCUCCCACUGGAUUCAUUUCACUCACAAGAUACUAUUCCAAGUCAUAUCAUUAUUUAUACAUGUAGGUUAAUGACUGGAUAUAGGGAAAUAUACUUUCAGAAGUUCUUGCGCCGAAAAGUGGACUCUGUUUGUGAGGUGUUUUUGUUAUUGUAAAUUCUGCAAAACGAUAAAGGGCUGGCAUAUUUCCAGAUAUGCAGUAAAAACCUAUCGUUGGGUCAAAUGCUGUCUGACGUAUUUCAUACUGAUUGUUAGGCCGUUCUUGGCACACUGAUUUUGACUACAGAUAACUCCGUUUACCUGAUCAGAAUAUAGGGCUUGCGGCGGGUGUGACCGGUCGACAGGAUGCUUACUCCUCCUAGGCACCCGAUCCCACCUCUGGUGUGUCCAGGGGUCCAUGUUUGCCCAACUAAAUUUUGUAUUGCUUAUUGGAGUUAUGAGAUUGAUCACUGUUCGUUAUCGUCACCUUUCAUCACAUUUGCUCUACAUCUAUGUACUUCUAACUCUAUAAAUGCUCAAUUUUUAAAGAAAAGAUUAUCAUUAGCAAACGAAGUUCUUUACGUCCAUGAAUAUUUGUAAACAUAUCAGGCCUCAAGUCCAUACACUGAAAAUAGACUUUUAAAAAUUAAAACACUGGAAAUGUUAUUUCCUUAUGAAAAAUAUUUGAAAAGUUAAUUGGAUUUGAAAUUUAGACUUAAGUCUAUUUCCAGGUUAUGGUCUUGAAACCUGGUAUCACAAUAAUCGUGUUAAGUGGGCAGAUACGAUGUCACAAUUAAGUUAAUUGGUCUCCGAGCGUCUGCAUUACCGACAAUUAUAGCUCAAUAAAAGCCCAGUUACUCUAAAUAAAAUAUACAGGAAAAAGUAUCAAAAUAUGUAAUAAGAGUACAUAUAAAAAUAUUAAUAUCGUGUCCAUGUUAUCAGUUCGAUAUGUUUUCUACGUACAUACCCUUCUUCUACAUACCGAUUGAUAACACAGCCUUUAGUUAUUGUUUCUGCAUUGCGUGAUAAAACCAAAUAGGCUAAUAAUCCUAUGUUUCGACCUCUUCGUGAAUUAGAAAUUAUCAUUUGAAAUAUUGAAUCCAUUCCAUCUAUACUUUUUAAAGAUACUAUGGAAACUCUAUGGCUAAUUUCCUUUCAAACAUGUAUUUUUCAAUAAUAGUCAAGAGUGUUAUAUCCCGGAAGAUUCAUUGAUUGGGAGGCAGGUUUUAAUAAACAGGAAACAAAUUCUGCAAUAGAUUCAGUCAAACUUUUAAGUUUAUGAAAAUUCAACUUUUCUUAAUAAGGAACAGCUAUAUACAUGUAUAUAAUUGACGAUGUUUUCAAUAAUAUUGAUAUGUAUAUUCGUAGCUCAUAAGCCAGAUAAACUUUUCUUUAUUACACAGGUUUAUAAAAUUCUUGCACAAAAUGUUCAUGGACUCUAUGAAUGGUUCUCUUAGGUGUUGGUAUGCUAUACAGCCAAAUACAAAAUGGAAUUUAUCUUCUACACAGUCUGACUUGCAGACAGUACAUUUUCUCUCAUUUACAUGUGUUUGUGUGUAAAGUCCAGUUCCAAUAACCAAAGAAUGAGAACUGAUUCUGAAAUUUGUGAAACAUUGCAAAACAUGAGGAUUAUGAAUUACUGAAAACUAUUUUUCUCUACAGAAUCUUGAUUUGAAUAAUGCAUAUGUUCGCAGUUUAUCAAAUUGUUUGUCUGCAUUGUCUGAGAGUGUAUUACACCACUGAUACUUAAAUCUUUCAUAUAACCUAUUCGUAACAAUUGAAACAGAAUGUUAUGCAUUGUAUAUCCAACUUAUUCAAAAUAUAAUAAAUGCUACUGAUCCAACUGCUUUUGUUAUUAUCAAAUAAUACAUUGUUUUCUUGUACAACAUUUUAAAUAAGGAAUUCACUUGGGAAUUCUUUGUAAAUAUCUCAAACAGGUGUGAAAAUGGCCACACCUGGCCCGAAUAUUUCAAAAUGCAUUGAUUUCUAUGAAAUAGUAAUUUUCAUAUUGUUAUACGUUCUCCAAGACGAUUCCUAUUUUUGGAUAUGACAUCACAAAUUUGGUAAAGAAAGAAAUCAUUCUUUGCUAUAGGCAUGUAUUAUUAUUAAUUUCAUAUAUAUCCAGCACUUCAUGUAGAAUUAUGCACAGGUAUCAUAGAUCUCCAAAUACCUACUGCUUAUGAUAAUGGCGAUUUUGAACAGGGUAAGAGCUGUACGUAGUUGCUACUUUGUUCACAGUAAAUUCACGAUCCAUUAUUAAGUAAUGAUUUGUGUCGUAUGUUUCACCUACUUACCAAUAUAGUUUAGAAUUACAGUCAGAAUCAACACCAAAUCAUAUUUCUAAGAGACAUAGUUCUUGGCAGCCUUCAAUCGUAAACGAAAAUUAUUCGACCAUCAUUCCUAACACUGACACUAGAUUCUACAGACUCUGAGAAUGUAACAGGAGUGGUAGACAACGCACUAACAUGACAUGGGCAGGGAAUCAGAAGAGGCAGCAGGUGUGUGAGAUACAAAGGUGUCAGUUGGAAUUGACGAAACGUGAAGAUAACAAACAGUGAUAAAUCUCAGAACUCCUAUAAGCAAUACAGAAUAGAUAGUUGGACAAACACGGACCCCUGGAUAUACCAAAGGUGCCUUGGAGGAGCAAUCAUCCCCUGUCGACCGACCAUUUCCGCUGUGAACCAUAUCUUGAUCAGGUACCCAUCGAGCCGUCCCCCUUGAUCAUCGAGUAAUACACAGCCACACGACACUAUCAGAACCCCUCUUGUUUUUCAACAAAUGUAUGAAGGUGUAAGGAAUUCCGCAAAUAAAUUCACGUGAAAAUACACAAGAUGUACUGAUCACGUGGUUGCUCUCCGUCGCUACCUUAAAGGGAAAAUUCCGGAAGCAUUGAACCUACUUUGGAUACUCUGUUUUGCGGCAGACUUCUCCCACGCUGUUUUACUUAAACCAGGGGCAACCACUUAUUUACAUUGUUGAUGGGAUUUUCAGACUCUCUGAACAAGCCAUAUUGUACGGGUACCAAAAUGGAAUUGUCAAGUGGCUGAACGAUAUGAGUGGUAUUGGGAGGGAAGACACGAUGUGGAUGCUAUUUUCAAAAGAACAGCCGAGAAUUACUGAUUCCUGUUUCAUCGCAUUUUCGAAGUUGGUAAUCAUGCUAAAUACUUUGUUCUACUUUCAGAUACCGGAAGUAGUUGAAAAAGUUUAAAAAGCACCAAGUUUGUUUAAUAACCAUUUUAAAACCGUUUAUUACUUCGUGAAUGCAAGAAAAAUUCUAAAAGUGUGAUCAUCUUUUAAUACUACAAUUUCCUCCAAUGUAGUAAGGAAACUGCAUCGUUGUACAAAGUUGCUAUACCAAUUGCCUGUAGAUAGUUAAAUGUGAACAUAUAUAUACACCCAAUAAACAAUUUGCAAGACACAUUUCA